RNAcentral lists this ribosomal RNA (497 nucleotides) under uncultured bacterium. Its description in RNAcentral is "partial 16S ribosomal RNA". It matches the Rfam family "Bacterial small subunit ribosomal RNA", at positions 28 to 507 of the family's 1533-position model. The record is from RNAcentral.
GAUGAACGCUGGCGGCGUGCCUAAUACAUGCAAGUCGAGCGAACAGACGAGGCGCUUGCUCCUCUCACGUUAGCGGCGGACGGGUGAGUCACACGUGUAUCACCUACCUAUCAGACUGGUAUCACUUCGGGAAACCGGAUCUAAUACCGUAUGAUAUACUGCACCGCAUGGUUCAAUGGUGAAAGACGGCUUUUCUGUCACUUAUCGAUGGAUACGCGCCGCAGUGGCUAGUUGGUGAGGUAACAGCUUUCCAAGGGAACGAUGCGUAGCCGACCUGAUAGGGUGAUCGGCCACACUGGAAGUGGGACACGCACCAUGCUCCUACGGGAGGCAGCAGUAGGGUAUGUGCGGCAACGGGCGAGAGCCUUGCGGAGUAACGGCGAGCGAGUUAUGAAGGUCUUCGGAGCGUAAAACCCGGUUAUGAGGGAAGAACAAAUGUGGAAGUAGAUGAGCACGGCGUGACGGUACUUAGUCAGAAAGCCCCGGCUAACUACGUG